RNAcentral lists this signal recognition particle RNA (104 nucleotides) under Streptomyces sp. OspMP-M45. Its description in RNAcentral is "Bacterial signal recognition particle RNA". It matches the Rfam family "Bacterial small signal recognition particle RNA". From Rfam's summary of the family: The signal recognition particle (SRP) is a universally conserved ribonucleoprotein involved in the co-translational targeting of proteins to membranes. Archaeal SRP consists of a 7S RNA and homologues of the eukaryotic SRP19 and SRP54 proteins. In most bacteria, the SRP consists of a 4.5S RNA and the Ffh protein (a homologue of the eukaryotic SRP54 protein). The record is from RNAcentral. Lineage: Bacteria; Bacillati; Actinomycetota; Actinomycetes; Kitasatosporales; Streptomycetaceae.
GCGUCAGCCCCUCACGUGGCGCUAUCUGACUGAACUCCCCCAGGGCCGGAAGGCAGCAAGGGUAGGUCGGCUCUGGCGGGUGCGUGGGGGGCCCUUGCGUGUCC